Molecule: non-coding RNA, 154 nt
Organism: Erinaceus europaeus (western European hedgehog)
Lineage: Eukaryota; Metazoa; Chordata; Mammalia; Eulipotyphla; Erinaceidae
Source: Rfam
AGAAUCAAGCCAGAAAACUAUGAUCACGAAGGUGGUUUUCCCAGGGAGAGGCUUAUCCAUUGAACUCCAGAUGUGCUGACCUCUGCGAUUUCCCCCAAAAGUAUGAAACUGCAUAAAUUGUGGUAGUGGGGAACUGUGUUUGCACUCUCCCCUG